This is a non-coding RNA of Podarcis lilfordi (Lilford's wall lizard), 70 nucleotides long. NCBI's taxonomy places the organism in Eukaryota, Metazoa, Chordata, Lepidosauria, Squamata, Lacertidae. The record is from the annotation of a GenBank genome assembly.
GGAGGUGGCUCAGAGGGAGAGCAUCUGCUUUGCGUGCAGAAGGUCCCAGGUUCAGUUCCUGGCAUCUCCA